UACGUAGGGGGCUAGCGUUGUCCGGAAUCAUUGGGCGUAAAGCGCGCGUAGGCGGCCCGGUAAGUCCGCUGUAAAAGUCAAAGGCUCAACCUUUGAAUGUCAGUGGAUACUGCCGGGCUAGAGUCCGGAAGAGGCGAGUGGAACUCCUGGUGUAGCGGUGGAAUGCGCAGAUAUCAGGAGGAACACCGAUGGCGAAGGCAGGUCUCUGGGCAUUAACUGACGCUGAGGAGCGAAAGCAUGGGGAGCGAACAGG
This 253-nucleotide ribosomal RNA is filed under the name uncultured bacterium. Its description in RNAcentral is "partial 16S ribosomal RNA". It matches the Rfam family "Bacterial small subunit ribosomal RNA", at positions 524 to 776 of the family's 1533-position model. The record is from RNAcentral.